Long non-coding RNA from Aethalodelphis obliquidens (Pacific white-sided dolphin), 3700 nucleotides. RefSeq lists it as uncharacterized. The transcript is spliced from 3 exons. The record is from RefSeq and is a predicted model, not a curated record. Lineage: Eukaryota; Metazoa; Chordata; Mammalia; Artiodactyla; Delphinidae.
GAGGGCAAUGGCCGAACGGACUUAAAAAAAUAAAAGCGAAUUCCAGCUCCGGUUGCAGCUAAAGAAGGGCGAGAGGGGACAGUUUGCGCUGGGACAGCGUCCGCCCGGUCUCCUGACUCGCAUCACACCCGCAUCGGGCUGGGAAAGUUUCCUCUUUCUGCCUGUUGGAAUUCACUUGAGAUUCCCAGCCCCGAGGAUUGGAGAAGUUUCCUGGAUACAGUGAUGCUGGGGCCAAACUGGACACAUAUGGGAAUUCCUGGCGUUGUGACGCUUUGCAUUAAAAAAAAAAUCCCUCAAACUAUUUAAGAUAGGAUCAGAGCACUAGAUAUAGGACUUAGCCUGAGCGACUGCCCCAUCUUCCUCUUUUCGCCCCUCUUUGGUGGGCCUUCGUGCCAGAUUCUCGCCCCUCCCUCAGUCCAGACGGAUUCCGGGCUGGGCUGCAGGGAUCCAGGUGACUGACUGGACCUGCAUCAUUUCCAGGCGCGGGGCUGGGAGGCCCAGGCAGCCCUGAGUCAGCCCGCCGAGGAGCAUCGCGUGCCUCAGAGGCUGGAGCUUGAAAGGCAACUUUACGCGUCUCCAAACAUACUCUUCCAUUUUCUCAAAGCGCUACUCGCCACCCCAUUCUGGUUCCCUUUACUCUUCAUUCAUCGGAUGGAAAAGGUCAAAAAAUUCUCCCCAAACCCUAAAAACAAAACCCAAGGAAAUUCUCUCCGUCUCUUUUCCUUGUUCGAGCUCCCUCCCCAAGCACGGCCGGGGCUGGAUUGCCCCCGACCGCUUUCUCCCCCGGCCUGCGGAAGCAGGGAGAAAGUUGGGCGCCGCUCGGAGCGCCUCUUCCCCCGCUGUGUGUGUACGUGUGCACGCUCACGUCUCCCCGGCGCCUGGGCUGGGGACAGGAACUGCUCCGGGCACCGUCAGUCCGACGGCGCUGCUCUGGGGGCUUGCAGGGCUGGGGGAGGGCGGGGACGCGAGCGCCGCGCCACUCACCCCGGGUUGACGCGCCCUCGCCCCUCCCCCGCCGUCUCCAUCCUCCUCCUGGAGAACAGGUCAUGAUUUUUGCUUCCGCACUGUGUGUGGAGACAGACUCUAGGAGAAAACGUCCCAGGCCAGGAGCAGCGUGAUCUCCGUGGGGAGUGCUGGUGGAGCCCAGAGCAGGUUAAGAGGUCAGAUGACGCAGCAGAUCAUCAAUAAACCUCCAGAUUCCAAGUCUGCCGUGUUCUGGCUCACUGUAGACACAGAGGCUCCUAUUGCUGGCAGGGACCCUGGUGUGAAGCGUCUCUUCAGGGCCCCUUGGCCGAGCUACUUCCAGCGCACCCGGCAACUCCAGAAUCUGACCAUGAGGCUGGUGAGGGACUCUCCCGGCAGGUGACCUCCUAGCUUUUCCAGGCUGCCGAUGCCUGAAGCUGCAGCCCCUGCCUACGGGACCCCAGACCUCCGGCUCCUGUGCAAACAUCCUCGUAGUUUAGGACAAGUCUUUGCGAGGAUGUUGGGAACCAGUGUGCCUGGCUGAGGACUGGAGGGGCCCUUGCGAGCUCCUGGCGAGUGUUCUUCUUGUGCCUCUAGAUCAGGUUACUCAGAGGGUGACACAGGCUGGUGUGCUUCUGCGUGGGUAAACCAGCCACCAUAGGUAUAUGCUUGUGUUUGAGUUCUGAAUUUAUCUUUUUGCUUUAUUUCAGACAAGUCGUUUAACCUCUCACAUCUAAGUUGACUGUCUAGUUUGAAUGCCAGUUCUGCCACUUGCUAGCCGUGUGGCCUUGGGCAAGCUCUUAACCUCUCUGUUCCUCUAUUUCUCUGUAAAAUGGUGAUAAUUAUUGUACCACAUCUCUUAGGGUUGUGAUGAUUAAGAGGCUUGACGUACAUUAGUAUAUAGAGGUCCUAGAGUUGUGUCCGCUGGGCCUUAAGCACCAUGCAGAAGUGUGAGCUACUGGCAUCCUCUGGGGCUCCCGCCUCCACCACCCUCUUUUUUAAAGUAGUCUUUUAUUUUUUCAAGGUACAGGUGUACCUCUUUUUCCACCACCCCUUUUGUGCUCGGCAGGUGUCUGAAGCAGUGUUGGUUGAUGCCCACGUCCUGAUACUGCUGCUACACUAACCUUUCAUCCUUGAGCCUGGGUAUCCUGUAUCCCGCUGUGUGUGUAUCAUCCAGUUUGCGUCUGUUCCCCCACCCUCCUUAAUUCUGUCAAGUAACAAGGCUCUGUUCCCCCCAGUCUUCCUGCCCUGCCCCCCAUGAUCACCUGCCUCACCUUUCUCCCAGUUUACUGCUGCCUUCAUCCCUCUUCCUGCUCCUCCGCUUUCAGUAGCCCCGCCCCACCUCCAUCCUACUAGGUGUCCAGGUGUUAAGUAGGCUUCCACUGAAGUCUAGUACAGAUCCACCCAUCGUCUCCUGGGGGUCCUCUGCUUGCCCCCUCAGGGCUCCAGAAGGGCUGACUCCAGGGAAAAAUUCUCCUCUCUGCCUCACACCCCUCCUCAACCACAUGGCCCGUGCCCUUGGCCAUAAACUCUUCUCUCAGGUUCCCUUGCACGUGGGAGAAGCCCUGAGGGCAGCCCGUGUUGCUUCCCGGGGUCCCUCCUAGCUGCUUGGUCACUGUGUUGCUUCUGCCAUUUUGAAGGCCUUUCCUUCCACCCUGGUCCUCACUGAGGCUCUCCACUCCCUCUGUGGCCUGGCUGGCAUCUGUGGACGGCCUGACGUUCUGGUUCCGUCCCCUUGGUUUCUGGGCUCUUUGGAGCCACCCUUCAAGGCUCAACUCUCCCACCUGUUCUCCUUUAGGUCUCUCCCUUGGAGACGUCAUCAGUUACCACGCAUCAGCACCGCUGGUUUCUCUCUAUAGUGACCUUGACUCCUGCUCUGCGUGUGGCUGUGUGUCCCCGCUGGUCUCAGCGCGCGUAGCCUCGAGACAUCAAGACCCAAGCUCCCCAGCCUGCCCUCCAAGCUGGCUGUUCCUCUUGAUUCCCUCUGCUAACCACGGGGACAGGGAAGUCCUUUCCGGCUCAGUCUCCCAGCAUUGUGUCCGCCCCUCCCAUCCCUCUGGGCAGCCUGCCUCUUGCAGCUGUUCUUCCGUCCCCUCAGCUCCUCUCCUCUCACCAGCCUGGGAUCUGGUCCUUCCCUUGGGUGGACUCGUGCAGAUUUCUCAGUGGUCUGUUCUUCCUGGUCUAUCCUCAGGCUCCCUCCAGAUUGCAGUGCUGCCCGUAUCCUGGGAAACCCUUAACGACUCCAGGGGCCGGGACACGGGCCCCAAACCUCUCAGCACAGAUUUCAGAGUCCCUGAGCUGAAUCCCAAGCAGCAGUUCCCUUUCUGCUCCCUCUCUGGAGGCAUCCUAGGAGGUUAGUUUUGUGUGUCAGCUUGUCUCGGUCAUAGUCCCAGCUGGUUAAUCAAACGCAAAGCUAAGUGUUGCCGCGAAGGUAUUUUGUGAGUGUGGUUAGCAUCUACAGUCCUUUUACCUUAAGUAAAGAAGAUUGCCCUAGAUGAUGUGGAUGGGCCCCAUCCAGUCAACUGAGGUGUCCCCGAGAAGGAAUUCUGCCUGCACACCGCGGUAUCAGCUCCUCCUGCGUUUUCAGGCUACGGUCUGUCCUAACAAUUCAGACUUGUCAGCCCCCAUGAUCACGUGAGCCGGUUCCUUACAAGAAAUCAUUCUGUGUGUGUGUGUGUGUGUGUGUGUGUAUGUGUGUAAAUAUACAUAUACACAUGUAUAUACAUAUACAUGACUA